CAAUAGCGUAUAUUUAAGUUGUUGCAGUUAAAAAGCUCGUAGUUGGAUUUCGGGUUGGCUUCAGCGGUCUCGCUUUGCGUUUGUACUGCUGCAGCCUACCUUCUUGUCGGGGACGGGCCUUCGGGCUUAAUUGCUUGGGGCCCGGAGUCGACGAUGUUACUUUGAGUAAAUUAGAGUGUUCAAAGCAAGCCUACGCUCUGAAUAUAAUAGCAUGGGAUAACACGACAGGACUCUGGCCUAUCGUGUUGGUCUGUAGGACCAGAGUAAUGAUUAAGAGGGACAGUCGGGGGCAUUCGUAUUCCGUUGUCAGAGGUGAAAUUCUUGGAUUUACGGAAGACGAACAUCUGCGAAAGCAUUUGCCAAGGAUGUUUUCAUUAA
RNAcentral lists this ribosomal RNA (378 nucleotides) under uncultured eukaryote. RNAcentral describes it as "partial 18S ribosomal RNA". It matches the Rfam family "Eukaryotic small subunit ribosomal RNA", at positions 592 to 976 of the family's 1831-position model. The record is from RNAcentral.